UCGUUUCUCUAGUCCCACUUGAUAUCAGUUCCGCAAUAUCUACCUUCCUGUGUUUCAUUGCCAUACUUGAGGGUUUUGGAUAUUUUACCAUGAUUCAUUAUUAAAGUCAAACAUAAGAUAUAGGAGGAUGGAAAGCGAGAGGAAUGACUUGAGGACCAGUGAAGCCUCAAUAUAAGUAGUUUCAAAAGAACAGGAUGGAGUCUAAUUGGUGUUGCCAUUUGUUGAUUCUACAGUCUUGACCUAGAUGCGCAGAAUUCAUGUUAAAAUUCCAGCUAAAAUUAUAGCUGUAGGAGCCAACAAAAGUACAUAUAUAUACAUCAGCCACCGAAACUACACAAGAUUGAUGGAGGUAAGAAAUGCAUUCUGUCAGAUAUAGAUAUUUCCUGAGAGACACAGCUAGAUUAUACAAAUACAGAAGUGAAUGCUAGUGGCAUACCAGUAAACUGGAAAUGGACUUCUUGUUUUUAGAUUUUAAAAAAAGAUUACAAGAGCUGAAGGGCUUUAACACUACAAGAACAACAAUGCCAAUGAACCAGAGCUUUCUGAUACUAGAACAAUAUUCAAAGAAUGUACAUGGACAGAGCUAUGGCUCCAACUGCAUAUGUGGAAGAGAAUAGACUUGGUGGGCACCAAUGGAAGGAGAAGUCCUUGGUCCUCCCUAGGUUUGACUCCAAGUUCAAGGACCUUUUCUUCUUGCGAAAAAGUGUAAAGGUCAUGAGUUCUCAGGAAAACAACUGUGCCCUUCACAACACUUGGCUUUUGGAAUAAAGAAAUAAAUGAUAUAAA
Non-coding RNA from Rattus norvegicus (Norway rat), 786 nucleotides. Lineage: Eukaryota; Metazoa; Chordata; Mammalia; Rodentia; Muridae. The record is from RefSeq and is a predicted model, not a curated record.